This 444-nucleotide ribosomal RNA is filed under the name uncultured bacterium. RNAcentral's name for it is "partial 16S ribosomal RNA". It matches the Rfam family "Bacterial small subunit ribosomal RNA", at positions 29 to 506 of the family's 1533-position model. The record is from RNAcentral.
AUGAACGCUGGCGGCGUGUCUAAGGCAUGCAAGUCGAGUGCAGGUUAAGCUGCACGGCAGACGGGUGCGUAACACAUUGGUAAUCUACCUUCAAGUCGGGGAUAAUCCCGCGAAAGCGGGAAUAAUACCCGAUACGGUGUAGUAACGAAAGUUAUUACACCAAAGUUCCGGCGCUUGAAGAGGAGCCUAUGGCCCAUCAGCUAGUUGGCGGGGUAAGAGCCCACCAAGGCAAUGACGGGUAGCGGUUCUGAGAGGAUGAUCCGCCACACUGGUACUGAGACACGGACCAGACUCCUACGGGAGGCAGCAGUGAGGAAUAUUGCACAAUGGGGGGAACCCUGAUGCAGCAACGCCGCGUGGAGGAUGACGCAUUUCGGUGUGUAAACUCCUUUUAUAUGUCAAGAAAAUGACGGUAGCAUAUGAAUAAGCACCGGCUAACUCCGU